Molecule: long non-coding RNA, 345 nt
Filed under: Dicentrarchus labrax (European seabass)
Lineage: Eukaryota; Metazoa; Chordata; Actinopteri; Moronidae
Description: lncRNA (ENSDLAG00005031582.1)
Source: RNAcentral
ACCUCAUCUCCUAAACCAGAGGACACACAGCUGGAUGCUGUGUAUGUUGGCAUCGCCAUCGGCCUGCUGCUGCUCGUACUUGGAGUUGCUGUCGGCUUCCUGGCAUUACUCAAGAAAAGAUGCUGCUUAAUAAAGCCCAACCCGAUGGACUACGGGGUGAUGGAUAACCCAGGCUUUGACUGGAGAGCAGAGCACCCGUCCCUCCACGAAAGGCCAGGCGGGUGUCCCAGACUUAACCCCAGGAGGAGUGAUGGUCGGGGGCUUUCCAUCAGUGUCUACCCCUGGAGGAAGGAGGCGGAGGUAAGGUGUCUCGUCUUAGCCUCUGGGGCUUUACUCUAAUUAUCU